This 136-nucleotide microRNA precursor is filed under the name Hordeum vulgare. RNAcentral's name for it is "microRNA MIR1122". It matches the Rfam family "MIR1120/MIR1122 microRNA precursor family". Lineage: Eukaryota; Viridiplantae; Streptophyta; Magnoliopsida; Poales; Poaceae. The record is from RNAcentral.
UAACUACUCCCUCCAUCCCAAAAUUCUUGUCUUAAAUUUGUCUACAUAUGAAUGUAUCUAGUCACGUUUUAGUAUUUACAUAAAUUCAUUUCUAGACAAACUUAAGACAAGAAUUUUGGGACCGAGGGAGUACAAU